GCAGAGUUAAAGACGGCUGACAGGUGUGGAAAACGGCGGUGACGGAGGACCGACACCUGAACAGUGUAUUCCCAGCCUGUAUUCCUGCGGUCCAUCCACCUCAUUCCCACUGGGUCCAUGCCUUAGGAAGAUGAAUGAGCCGCAUCUGAUGUACAAUCCUGCAGGUCAGGUCAUGGUGGCAGGAGGCAAAGUAAGUCAAACCAGACUUCCCUCUCCCCAACAACGUGUUCCAGCUCCUCCUGGGGGAUUCAGAUGCCUUCCCUGGCCAGACAGGAUAUAUAAUCCCUCCAGCGAACUCUUGGUCUACAUCGGGAUCUCCAUCCAGACAAUAUGGUUUUUCCAUUUUGCAGAGAGAAAUAGGGGGCGCAGCUGCACACACAUUUUUCAAGUGACAGAAAGGGACAUUCAUCUGUCAAUGCAGCAUGAUUUUUUUUCUGGGUCUGGGAUGCCUUUUUGGUAACACAGUUCUCCCUAGGGAAGCCAAGACCACCCUGGUGGUAAUUUCAAUGCUACUGAAGAUAACAGGAGGCUUCAUUCUGGGUCUGUCAAAUCAAGUUGUUAUCUUCAAAAGUUACAGGUUUUUCAGUGCAAAAAUUUUUCCUCUCUCUCUAAUGCCGCUGCAUCCAACCAAGAACAGAAAUGUACAAACACCAACUGAGAAUUUGGUUCUAAAAAGACUUCAACUUUGGAAGAUGUCGAUUUGAUUUCUGAUCUCUUUCAUUGCUGAGGUUUAAUAUGAAGAUUUCCGGACACUUUUUAAAUACAAGCACAGAUUAUUUCACACAGCGCAUCUGACAUUUCCCUGUAUUUGUUCAUGUCCUAAUAAAA
Labrus bergylta (ballan wrasse) is the source of this 828-nucleotide non-coding RNA. NCBI's taxonomy places the organism in Eukaryota, Metazoa, Chordata, Actinopteri, Labriformes, Labridae. The record is from RefSeq and is a predicted model, not a curated record.